AGGGCUGUGGCUCAGUGGUAGAGCAUGUGCUUCGCAUGCAGAAGGUUCCAGGUUCAAUCCAGGUAGGUCUG
Molecule: non-coding RNA, 71 nt
Organism: Podarcis lilfordi (Lilford's wall lizard)
Lineage: Eukaryota; Metazoa; Chordata; Lepidosauria; Squamata; Lacertidae
Source: the annotation of a GenBank genome assembly